GAUACUGAAUAGCUACCUGGUGAAGACACAAGAUGGAAAAGCACAAACAUGGCUGUGUACAUUACAUAUAUUAACUUAAGCCAUAAGUACCCGCAGAUAUAUUUUACAAGAGGAAUAAAUGUUUAUAAAAGUCAAGCGCCCACUGAUGCUGGAGUGUGGAGUCCAUGACUUGUAGUAAAGACAUGAAACAGAAGUGAGAAAAUGUCGACAUCAGUCAUCUAUGAAUGAAGAUGGAGAUCAAGUGACUAGUCUCUAUCCUAAAAUUUCUGAGGAAAAUAGUGUUGUCUGGCUCAUCCAAUGAUCACUCCAUUUGCAGACUACCAGGUUCCAAUCUGAAGUAUACGUAGGAAGAGUAAAAUCUUUUUCAUUCAAAUAACUACUUACUAGCUGUGAUCCAGAUGAACGUCCUGAUUGUUUUGUCCAACAUAAGAUGACUUUCAAUCUGACAC
Molecule: long non-coding RNA, 449 nt
Organism: Saccostrea cuccullata (small rock oyster)
Lineage: Eukaryota; Metazoa; Mollusca; Bivalvia; Ostreida; Ostreidae
Exons: 3
Source: RefSeq, a predicted model, not a curated record